CUGUAAAAUUUGAGUUUUCCCGCCAAAACCGUAAAAUUUGAGUUUUCCCGCCAAAACCGUAAGACCGAGUUUUUCCGCCAAAACCGUAAAAAUUGAGUUUUCUGCCAAAACUACAAAAUCGUAAUUUUUCCGCGUAAAUCGUAAAACCAAAAUUUUCACCAAAACUAUACAAUCACAUUUUCCUAAAAAAAAUAAUUAAUUAAUUAUAUUAAGUUAUAUGGGUUAAUAGGGUCCCCCACUAAUUUUAAGUAGAACCUAUUUAAUAAACAGGUCUUAACAAAACUACCCGUUUAAAAUCCAUUAACCUAAAUGGGUCUAAAUGAACAUUUUUUUUUUAAAACCCAUUAAAAACCCGCGGAGAGAACCCGUUAUAACAUCCCUACUUAUAGGUCUAGUCCUUAACGGUAGUGGGGUUUUCUAUCUUAGGAAUUAGACAAAUAUGCGUCUGGUUUAACUUGGUGUCUAGGUAAUUAUUUUCAAAGAAGUUCCGGACAAAAGAGAAGACACCUGUUUUGAUUGCUUCCCAAUGUUGAUGGUAGAAUGCAGCUGACAUACCGUCUGGACGAGGCGUCUUGUCAGGAUUCAUAGCGAAGACUGCCUUCUUGACUUCCAUCUCAGUGACAGAUUCUGUUAAGCUUGCAUUGAUCUCCUCUGUUAUGUUCGCGGAAUACCUUCCAUUAAAGAGGGAGAUAUUAUACUUCCAUUACUAGAGAAAAGAUGAGCAAAAUAAUGUUCAAUGUGUGAGAAGAUAUCCUUAGCGUUUUUGUAGUAAUGUCACUUGAAAAGAAUUUAAUGGAAAAUGUAUUGUCAAUAUGUAAAGAAGCAAUUCCUUACUUUUAUGAUGAGAUUUGUCAUCCUAAUAAAAUUCUAACGGUAAUUGCAUUUAUCUCCAUUUCUCUGCUUCUCAUAUAUUCCAAAAGUAAGGCAAAUAACGGCGACGAUCAGUGUGAACUUCUACGACGUCCGUCAUAUAUUUUCUUGCUCAACCGUCCUCACCUCCGUUCUUCUCACAAGUAUGGUAUUAUCACCAACGAGAUGUCCUCACCUACGACCACCUUACCGUUUCUUGCUCAACCUUCACGUUUCAUGUUUCUUGUCUAGAAAAAGACACACAAUCUGUAAAACUGUAACUCUUUGUCAUGUUUACAUACAAUCUGUAACUCAUGCAUCUCCACGGUCUUGUAUAAUGGACGUAUUCACAUUCGUUCAAGCUUUUUUUUUCUUAAGUAAUGAAAAAAAGUGACAAAACUCAAAUAACACAUAUAUUUCUCAUCUUAUAAGUGCUAGUAUAACGAAUAUACCGAUAUUUUGAUUUGUACUCCCACCUAAAAACAAAACAAGUGAAUAACAGAAAUAUCUUUUGUAGAUGUUUUCAGAAAAUCCGUACAAAUUAGUACUUAUCAAAAGUUCAAAUUGUUGUUGACAAUAAUCAAAUAAUAUAUCACAAAAUCUCAACAAAUAAGUGUGUAUCCUUUUAGAAAAAAAUCUCUUUAUAGAUUGCUACACCUAUAUAUAGCACUGAUCAUAUCACUUCUCAAAGCAAGAAAAUCCCACCUAGAAGAACAAACAAUUUCCAAGUACCUGAAGGUAAACUCUUUAUAAUUUAUUUAUAAAUCACAUGUUAAACAAUUAGUAAUGUUUAUUAUUUAAAAUUUUAGGUAAAUUCUAUCUAGUUGAUUGUGGAUUUGCAAGCAGAGUCAAUUUUUGGCUCCUUUUCGAGGUAAUCGAUACCAUCUACAAGAAUUUACUGGGCAAGGAUGUGAUCCUAACACUGAAUCUGAGUUAUUCAAUCUUCAUCAUGCUAGUUUGAGAAAUGUGAUCGAGAGGAUAUUUGGAAUGUUUAAAUCAAGAUUUGCGAUUUUAAAUCAGCACCUCCUUUUUCCUAUAAAAAACAAGCUGGAUUGGUAUUGGCAUGUGCAGCGUUGCAUAACUUUCUGUGGAAAGAAUGCCGAUCAGAUGUAGGUGAAUUUUCUGCUGAAGAAAAUGUCCAACAGAAUGCAACAAAUGGCAAUCAAGUUAUUCGAAACGAACCUUUGGGAACACAAGAACAAGAUAGAGAAAAUGCAAAUGCUUGGAGAACAACUAUGGCAAAAGAUAUGUGGAGAGAUGUCAUGGAUUUAGAUGAUCCAUAGAUCUUAUUGAUUAGUAUUAUGCAUUUUAAUAAAAUUGCUACAGUCAGUGAACUUUUGUAGUAGUAGUAACGCUUAUUUUUUUACUCUCAGUUUUAUCACUAAUAAAAUAAUGUUUGUUACCUUUUCUAUAAGAAAGAUUCAAAAAUUUCAUUGAUUUUGGAGAAAUUGAUAUUCUAUCAAAAUUGCGUGCAUUCUUUAAAAAUCCAUAAAAAAAAGUAAACAUGGGAAUUAUGUAAAUGCAUUAAAAUCUCAUCAAGUCUUAUAAACUAUGGCAAAAAUUACUAUUUAUGAAUUCUUUCAAAUUCUAUUAAAUUCUUUGAUUGAAUACCACCUCCUUAAUCUCUUGGUUUUAUCUUUGCUCCCCAUCCAUUCUCUUGUCUCCCUUUCGAUAUGCCUCAGAAACUGGGCUAGGGUUUCGUUCGUACGGCAUCAGCUCCGCUCGCGAGGGGUUCGUUUCCGGUGAUGUUUCCUCUUCCUCUGGUCACUGGGUGAGUUUGCGGCAGCGGUUUAUGGUGGGUGUAGUCGGUUUUUAGAGUUCAAGGAGUGGAUCUGUGAUUUUCGCUUUUCAGAUCUGUCUCUUGGUUCUCGUCGCUCCUUGCGGGAGAGAUUUGAGCGGCUCUGUCAAGAUCCUGUCUUGGUGGUGUUGUUUGGCAGCGGCGGUUGUUUUUUAGGUUCUCUUCGGUGUCGUGGAGGUCCAAUGUCUUCCCAAUGCUGUCGAGUGAGCUCCGGAGGUUUCCACUUCCUCGGAGGCGAGUCUUGGAUCGAGUUACGCCGGUGAAGAUGGUGACUCGGUCAGUCGGUCCUGUUUCUGACUUGUGAGAUUACGGCGGUGUUCUUGAAAGGUGUCGUCUAUGGCUCCUCGAUGUUUGCUCGACGUCUCUCAUCACUACAAAUCUGUUCUACUUGGUCAUGUUCUGGUACCUUCGGUUUACUGCGACGGCCCUCUUUAUCGAAGUUGUUCUCAGUGUUCCCUUGUUCUGUCCCUGUUUGACACCGGAGACUACUUACGAUUCACAGAAGACUAUUUUUCGGUUCUCGAUUAACAGCAAAUGUCUUUGCGAUUUGUGUCAUAAUCGCUUGGUGUCAUCAUUUGGCUUGUCUCACUUCCCAGUACCAUGGGUGAUCCUUGAUCAUCUGUGGUAGUGUAGAUUAGCUAUUCUGUGCAGGUUUGAGAGCUAUUCCAGGCUGUGUGUAAUGGCGAGUUCAAGCUCGAACUUUGGUUCUAUUGGCGUUCCCGGAGAGUGGUAUAGCAGGUGCUCCGACAGCUCUCCUUAGGUAUGGCUGUCCUUGUUCUUUCUCUCCCUUGUAUGUCUUGCGCUUCAUCGACAAAGAAGAAUGUAAACCUGGCAAGAUCACUGAUUACCAGCUACUUCUGGCGACGUCUCGGGACUUCGGCAUCCGAGAGGUGGCGCAAUGGAGGUUGGACAGACAGGGAAACCGAGCAAGUGUAUCCAUACAGAGUGGACCUUUCACUCAACGCACCCUGACUGUUGGUAGUUAAUAGGUGGAACUAAAGGAGUUUGUUGGACCAAAGAGAUUCUCUAAGCGCCAAAGAGUUUCGUUUUGCAUUAUGUCCAAAGGAAAUGUAAAACUUUGAUCUAUUCAACAAGUUGAGAUUUUUCUAAAGCAUUCUUAUAGAUAAACAAACACAAAUCAUGUAUUAUUUUGUAAGAAUGUAACCUCAUCAACAAAAUACAAAUGUAUAAUCAACAAAACCCUUGAACCACUCUUUUACAUAA
Molecule: long non-coding RNA, 3871 nt
Organism: Brassica napus (rape)
Lineage: Eukaryota; Viridiplantae; Streptophyta; Magnoliopsida; Brassicales; Brassicaceae
Exons: 2
Source: RefSeq, a predicted model, not a curated record